CGGAGGGGCUAGCGUUGUUCGGAAUUACUGGGCGUAAAGCGCACGUAGGCGGCUUUACAAGUCAGGGGUGAAAGCCCGCGGCUCAACCGCGGAAUUGCCCUUGAGACUGUAUCGCUUGAACACGGGAGAGGUGAGUGGAAUUCCGAGUGUAGAGGUGAAAUUCGUAGAUAUUCGGAAGAACACCAGUGGCGAAGGCGGCUCACUGGACCGUAGUUGACGCUGAGGUGCGAAAGCGUGGGGAGCAAACAGGAUU
This 253-nucleotide ribosomal RNA is filed under the name uncultured bacterium. RNAcentral describes it as "partial 16S ribosomal RNA". It matches the Rfam family "Bacterial small subunit ribosomal RNA", at positions 527 to 779 of the family's 1533-position model. The record is from RNAcentral.